Molecule: ribosomal RNA, 262 nt
Filed under: Clostridioides difficile
Lineage: Bacteria; Bacillati; Bacillota; Clostridia; Peptostreptococcales; Peptostreptococcaceae
Description: partial 16S ribosomal RNA
Rfam family: Bacterial small subunit ribosomal RNA
Source: RNAcentral
UUUUAUUUGAGAGUUUGAUCCUGGCUCAGGAUGAACGCUGGCGGCGUGCCUAACACAUGCAAGUUGAGCGAUUUACUUCGGUAAAGAGCGGCGGACGGGUGAGUAACGCGUGGGUAACCUACCCUGUACACACGGAUAACAUACCGAAAGGUAUGCUAAUACGGGAUAAUAUAUUUGAGAGGCAUCUCUUAAAUAUCAAAGGUGAGCCAGUACAGGAUGGACCCGCGUCUGAUUAGCUAGUUGGUAAGGUAACGGCUUACCA